GAUGAACGCUAGCGGCAGGCCUAAUACAUGCAAGUCGAACGGGGCAGUUCAGCAAUGAACUGUUCAGUGGCGCACGGGUGCGUAACGCGUAUGCUAACCUACCUUAAACUGGGGGAUAGACCCGGGGAAACCCGGAUUAAUACCGCAUAAGAUCACACGAGGGCAUCUGAGAGUGAUUAAAGAUUUAUUGGUUUAAGAUGGGCAUGCGUGCCAUUAGCUAGUUGGUAGGGUAANGGCCUACCAAGGCUACGAUGGCUAGGGGUUCUGAGAGGAUGACUCCCCCACA
RNAcentral lists this ribosomal RNA (286 nucleotides) under uncultured bacterium. Its description in RNAcentral is "partial 16S ribosomal RNA". It matches the Rfam family "Bacterial small subunit ribosomal RNA", at positions 28 to 312 of the family's 1533-position model. The record is from RNAcentral.